This 370-nucleotide ribosomal RNA is filed under the name uncultured organism. RNAcentral describes it as "partial 16S ribosomal RNA". It matches the Rfam family "Bacterial small subunit ribosomal RNA", at positions 527 to 896 of the family's 1533-position model. The record is from RNAcentral.
GGAGGGGGCUAGCGUUGUUCGGAAUUACUGGGCGUAAAGCGCGCGUAGGCGGCUUGCCAAGUUGGGGGUGAAAUCCCAGGGCUCAACCCUGGAACUGCCCUCAAAACUGGUUCGCUAGAGUCCGGGAGAGGUGAGUGGAAUUCCCAGUGUAGAGGUGAAAUUCGUAGAUAUUGGGAAGAACACCAGUGGCGAAGGCGGCUCACUGGACCGGUACUGACGCUGAGGCGCGAAAGCGUGGGGAGCAAACAGGAUUAGAUACCCUGGUAGUCCACGCCGUAAACGAUGAGUGCUAGAUGUUGGGGGGCUUGCCCCUUCGGUGUCGCAGCUAACGCGUUAAGCACUCCGCCUGGGGAGUACGGCCGCAAGGUUA